GACAGAGGGUGCAAGCGUUGUUCGGAAUUAUUGGGCGUAAAGGGCGCGUAGGUGGCCAGAUAAGUCAGAUGUGAAAGCCCAGGGCUUAACCCUGGAAGUGCAUCUGAUACUGUCUAGCUUGAGUCCUGGAGAGGGUCGCGGAAUUCCCAGUGUAGAGGUGAAAUUCGUAGAUAUUGGGAGGAACACCAGUGGCGAAGGCGGCGACCUGGACAGAGACUGACGCUGAGGCGCGAAAGCGUGGGGAGCAAAC
Molecule: ribosomal RNA, 250 nt
Filed under: uncultured bacterium
Lineage: Bacteria
Description: partial 16S ribosomal RNA
Rfam family: Bacterial small subunit ribosomal RNA
Source: RNAcentral